GUGUUCGGGUUGUCAUGCCAAUGGCACUGCCCGGUAGCUAAAUGCGGAAGAGAUAAGUGCUGAAAGCAUCUAAGCACGAAACUUGCCCCGAGAUGAGUUCUCCCUGAGACUGUAAGUCUCCUGAAGGAACGUUGAAGACGACGACGUUGAUAGGCCGGGUGUGUAAGCGCAGCGAUGCGUUGAGCUAACCGGUACUAAUGAACCGUGAGGCUUAACCUU
This 219-nucleotide ribosomal RNA is filed under the name Cronobacter sakazakii. RNAcentral's name for it is "partial 23S ribosomal RNA". It matches the Rfam family "Bacterial large subunit ribosomal RNA", at positions 2712 to 2925 of the family's 2925-position model. Lineage: Bacteria; Pseudomonadati; Pseudomonadota; Gammaproteobacteria; Enterobacterales; Enterobacteriaceae. The record is from RNAcentral.